This 400-nucleotide ribosomal RNA is filed under the name uncultured bacterium. RNAcentral describes it as "partial 16S ribosomal RNA". It matches the Rfam family "Bacterial small subunit ribosomal RNA", at positions 359 to 776 of the family's 1533-position model. The record is from RNAcentral.
GAAUAUUGCACAAUGGGGGAAACCCUGAUGCAGCGACGCCGCGUGAGUGAAGAAGNAUNNCGGUANGNAGAGCUCUAUCAGCANNNNNGAUAAUGACGGUACCUGACUAAGAAGCCCCGGCUAACUACGUGCCAGCAGCCGCGGUAAUACGUAGGGGGCAAGCGUUAUCCGGAUUUACUGGGUGUAAAGGGAGCGUAGGUGGUUCGGUAAGUCAGAUGUGAAAGCCCGGGGCUCAACCCCGGGACUGCAUUUGAAACUAUCGAACUAGAGUGUAGGAGAGGUAAGUGGAAUUCCUAGUGUAGCGGUGAAAUGCGUAGAUAUUAGGAGGAACACCAGUGGCGAAGGCGGCUUACUGGACUAUAACUGACACUGAGGCUCGAAAGCGUGGGGAGCAAACAGG